ACCCCACUAACAAGUUUGAGCGUAUAGGUAACAAUAUAGUCAAGAAGAUGAUGGGAUUAAAAUUAAUUGAUAAACCACGUGCUGAAAGGUUGACGUCGAGGUACACGGUUGCUCCGCGGAUCUACGGUUUGAGGAAAACACAUAAGAAUACAUGUAAAUUGAGACCAGUAGUUAGCUGCAUAAACUCACCCAGUUACAAUUGUGACAUCCAUGUGGAGUGACGUGUUUUUCGGCCGUUAACAAAAAAAUUAAAAUUAAAAAAACUAAUUGGAGGAUGUAAUUUAAUAAUCAAAAAUAUGUAUUGAUGCGACUAUAUACAUGAAAAUACAAGAGGUUGGAGAACAAAAUGUAAAUUUAAAGAGCAAUAACUACAAAAUAGAAAUAUUAAUGUAAAUUUUAACUAGCCAAUUUUAAAU
Molecule: unclassified non-coding RNA, 416 nt
Filed under: Melitaea cinxia (Glanville fritillary)
Lineage: Eukaryota; Metazoa; Arthropoda; Insecta; Lepidoptera; Nymphalidae
Description: misc RNA ENSMCXG00005018364.1
Source: RNAcentral